RNAcentral lists this ribosomal RNA (2346 nucleotides) under Triticum aestivum (bread wheat). RNAcentral's name for it is "partial small subunit ribosomal RNA". The record is from RNAcentral. Lineage: Eukaryota; Viridiplantae; Streptophyta; Magnoliopsida; Poales; Poaceae.
AUGCUUGCGGUAACCAACCUCUGGAUGGCCUGCAAAGGUACUACUCAAAGACAAUUCCUGCUGCCAGGGUUCAGGGCCUCUCCGGAUGACUACCUCGACAAGAACAGGAUCUUCCUCCUGUCCAACGGCUCUGUUUUCGGGUUCGGUUUUGUUGGCGCGCCAGAGAGCACGGCCGACAACACGACCUUCCUUCUCGCCGUCGUCCACCUAGGCACCACUUGUGUCGUCUGGGUCGCCAACGCCGACUCACCCGUCUCUCCUUCGGGGAGUAGCUUCGUGUUCGACAAGGAUGGCAACGCCUACCUGGAGUCUGCCGCAGGACCCACCAUCUGGAUCGCCAACACCUCUGGCGAGGGCGCCUCCAUGCGGCUGCUGGACUCCGGCAACCUCCAAGUGCUCAACGGAGAUAGCAACUCGCCUUCUCUGUGGUCCAGCUUCAAGUACCCAACCAACACACUCGUUUCAGGCCAGAGCUUCAUCGACGGCAUGCCGCCCCUCAAGAGCAUGUCGUACAGGCUUGAGAUCAAAUCGGGGGACAUGAUGCUCGGAGCUAUAGCCGGCUAUUUAAAACAUUGGGAGAAAACCCAGCCCUACUGGUCUGCGAGCAUGGAUCCCAGGCUGGUCGCCGUCAAGGAAGGUGCCAUAUACUGUGCGAACCUCGGCUCAGCUUCCUGGAACUUCUAUGAUCAAUUGGGGUCGCAUGUAUCUCAUCUUAACAUUUCAUAUGGUGAGAGUGAUGCUGAUGCCGGCGCCAACGAGACGCUGACUACUGCCGUCCUCGGUAACGAUGGAUCCAUCUCGUUCAGCGCCCUGCCGACUGGGAGUGGCCGGAGCACUCUCCCAUUGGGGAUUCCGCCAGACUCGUGCGACGUGCCCGCGAGCUGCGGACCGUACUCCAUCUGCAUCAACGGGACAGGGUGCCAUUGCUCUUCGGCCCUGAGCCCACAUAAAAAUCCAACUGAGUUUCAGCUAGCUCAACUCGACAGUGGAGUUGGGUACAUCGGCACAAGCUUCGCCUCGCCUGACGUGGCCAAGACCAACAUCACAGGAUGCAAGGACACCUGCAUGGCCAAUUGUUCGUGCGUUGCGAUGUUCUUCAACCAAACUUCAGGUGACUGCUUCCUCUUUGAUCAGAUUGGUAGCUUGCAGAAGAAAGCUGGGGACAGAACUGUUCUUACAACUUUUGUCAAGAUACCUAACCAUGUCUCAGGGCAAGGUGGGAGGCACACCGUUAUUAUUGUUGCCACUGUAGUCGGACCUUUGGCAUUCAUAGGGGUGCUUAUUUAUGUUGGUCUCUACAUAUAUCGAUGGACAUCAACACAAGAUCAAGAGGAAGGUUAUGGGUAUCUCCACACGAUGGCUGGAGCGCCGACACGAUUCACUUACAAGGAGCUCCAAGCUGCAACGAACAACUUCUCCGACAAGCUUGGCGAGGGAGGAUUUGGAUCAGUGUACCUCGGAACGCUCCCAGAUGGGAGCCACAUCGCUGUGAAGCAGCUGGAAGGUGUUGGCCAAGGGGAGAAAGAGUUCCGGUCUGAGGUGACAAUAAUUGGUAGCAUCCACCACAUACAUCUAGUUAAACUCCGAGGUUUUUGUACCGAGGGGGUGCACAGGCUCGUUGCUUAUGAGUACAUGGCAAACGGAUCUCUGCAUAGGUGGAUUUUUGCUAGUGAAGAAGAUGAUGCUCCAGUUCUGGACUGGGAUACGAGGUUCUACAUCACGCUUGGAACAGCAAAAGGUUUGGCAUAUCUUCAUCAGGAUUGUGAGUCAAAGAUCAUACACUGCGACAUCAAGCCUGAGAAUGUUCUACUCGAUGAUAACUUCACUGCAAAGGUAUCGGACUUCGGCCUUGCCAAACUGAUGAGCAGAGAGCAAAGCGAGGCCUUCACAACACUGAGGGGCACACGGGGCUACCUUGCACCCGAGUGGAUCACCAACUGUGCGGUCUCGGAUAAGAGCGAUGUGUAUAGUUAUGGGAUGGUCCUGCUUGAGAUAAUUAGCGGGCGGAGGAGCUUCAAUCGUGUGGAGGUCUCAGAGAAAGCCCAUUUCCCACCCUUCGCCUUCAAGAAGAUGGAGGAAGGUGAUAUUUGCACUAUCUUCGAUGCCAAGCUCAAGUAUGAUAGAGAUGAUGAUCGAAUGGAUAGAGCGAUCAAGGUUGCUCUAUGGUGCAUCCAGGAAGAUUUCCACCAGAGACCUUCCAUGUCAAAAGUUGUCCAGAUGCUUGAAGGUGUAUGUGAUGUGCCUCGUCCACCGACAUCCUCACAAACUGGAUCCAUGUUCCAUGUGACUGGUCACAAAUCAAGUGGUGCAAUACCUUCAGCUGUGCAGCUCUCUGAAGCUAGAUGA